RNAcentral lists this ribosomal RNA (253 nucleotides) under uncultured bacterium. Its description in RNAcentral is "partial 16S ribosomal RNA". It matches the Rfam family "Bacterial small subunit ribosomal RNA", at positions 524 to 776 of the family's 1533-position model. The record is from RNAcentral.
UACAGAGGGUGCGAGCGUUAAUCGGAAUUACUGGGCGUAAAGCGCACGUAGGUGGCGACGUAAGUCGGGUGUGAAAGCCCCGGGCUCAACCUGGGAAUUGCAUUCGAGACUGCAUUGCUGGAGUACGGAAGAGGAAGGCGGAAUUCCCGGUGUAGCGGUGAAAUGCGUAGAUAUCGGGAGGAACAUCAGUGGCGAAGGCGGCCUUCUGGUCCAGUACUGACACUGAGGAGCGAAAGCGUGGGGAGCGAACAGG